This 47-nucleotide ribosomal RNA is filed under the name Alternaria alternata. Its description in RNAcentral is "partial 28S ribosomal RNA". The record is from RNAcentral. RNAcentral also lists the same sequence under 15 other names. Lineage: Eukaryota; Fungi; Ascomycota; Dothideomycetes; Pleosporales; Pleosporaceae.
UUUUGACCUCGGAUCAGGUAGGGAUACCCGCUGAACUUAAGCAUAUC